GUGGAACUGACGUGAACGCUCCGAGUCAGAGCGGCAGUCAGGCGCCGACAGAGCAAGGAUGACAGCGCAGGUGGAGGCGACCCGUCCUCCUCCGUAGGAUCUUCUCAGACUCCAUCAGCGGAGAUCCAAGACGGCUUCAGGAGGAUGUUUGGCCUUUGGUCGGAGGGAAAUUACAGAUGGAAACCUCAUUUCCUCCCAUCGGUCUGGAUUCUUCUGCUGGCAGCCGCGCCGCGCUCAGCGCUCGGAUCUUUCCUGGCAGACACCAAAGCCGUUCUGAUUGGCUGCGAGGACCAGUGGACGCUGCAGAGCGCCGUGGUCGUGCCCCGCCUCUUCCAGAUGACGGUGUGCGUGGACGUGCACGUGGUCGUCCCUGGAGCCUGGGCGGGCUUCCUGUACACCUCGGUGCGCGGUCCCAAUCCUGACCUGGGCCUGGAGGGAGACGCCACGGCGAUUUACGGGUGGUUGCUUCAAGUCCGCCACCGAUUCCCGCUGCAGCUGACGCCGCUGCAGUGGCACCGAGUGUGUCUGAGGCGGGACGCCGAGGGCAACUCCUUCAUUCUGGAGGUGGACGGGCGGACGGUGGCGGAGAGGACGGUGAUCGCCCAGGCCAUCCCUCCGUCCGGCACCCUGUGGCUGGGCUGCCAUCCCAGACUGCAGCCCCCGGGGGCUCAGCCGGGGAGGGUGGAGCUGUACCUGUUCCGCAUGUGGGCGGACCUGAACGACCACGGUCUGUGCGAGGACGGCUCCGUGAUUGGCUGGGACUCUCGGUUCUGGAGCGUGACCGGUCCCAAGGCCAAAGCGAAGGACCCGUACCUGCUGUGUGAGAAGAAACGUUUUCGGCGGGAAGCAUCAGAAACGAAGCAGACUCCAGGACUCACGACUGGUCCGGGAAUGUCUCGGGAAUAUUCUCCAGACCCUGAUUUCACACCCAACCCCCCCAACCUGUCGUCUACAGUCAGGCUGACCACGCCCCCCAUCACCACUGCAGCCAAUCAUCCCAGCAGCAGUGCGGCUGCAGAGCCUGCGCAGUCAGGUGAAGGAUCACCUGUGCUGAAGUGUGACACGCGGCAGCUCUGCUCCAAUCACAGUUCUCAUUUCUGGGUGUCAGUGACUGCUGAGGACCACUUUGAUGACGACCUGCAGGAUCAGGUUUCCAAAGCUUUUUCAUGUGAGAACGCCAACGCCACACCGUCACAGAGUUUCACAGAGUUCUGUCGGAGCGGCGGGAACGUUCAGGUCGUGGACGCGUCCUGCUCCAACACCACCGUCAGCACAACAACCUGCGGCGUGCUGCUGCUGCUGCUCAAAGGCACUGUGUCAGCAUGCGACCUGCAGCUCAUUGGGGAAUCUGCCCUGCAGCCGUCUGCCCCGCAGCCGUCUGCCCCGCAGCCGUCUGCGGGACGGAUGAGGCCAACCAUCAGGGUUCAGGUGGAGCGAGUGGGUCAGAACCUCUGUGAGGGUUUGUCUCCAUCUGAAGGCAGCUUCGUGAGAUGCUCGUCCACGUCUUCUCUGGAAGACAUCUGCCGCUCCAACGCUCACUCCAACAUUUCAUGCUCCAUCUUGGAGUCGGACUCUCCGCCCGUCUCUGAGCCCGGGUCGUCCUCCUGCACUGAGCCGGCGCCGACCUUCUGUGACUGCUCUGCGUCCUGCACUUCUACAAGUCAGUUUUAUGCCAUGAAACUCAACAUUAGAAACAACAGUUUCAAUGUUAAUACCCUCAAAAACAUGUUCUUACCGCCUCCACUG
Long non-coding RNA from Oryzias javanicus (javanese ricefish), 1746 nucleotides. Lineage: Eukaryota; Metazoa; Chordata; Actinopteri; Beloniformes; Adrianichthyidae. The record is from Ensembl.